AGCAGGAACAUACAGCUAUUGGGCAGACCCUUACACUUUGUUUGUGUUCGAGAUGGCACUCAUGGGAUUUGCAGAGCACAGAAGGUUCCAAGACUGGGCCAAACCAGGUUCGAUGGGGAAACAAUAUUUCUUGGGGUUCGAGAAGUACCUUGGAGGGUCUGGUGAGCCGGCAUACCCUGGAGGACCACUGUUUAACCCACUUGGUUUUGGGAAAGAUGAGAAGUCAUUGAAGGAUUUGAAGCUGAAAGAAGUGAAGAAUGGGAGAUUGGCAAUGUUGGCAAUCUUGGGUUACUUCAUACAAGGGCUCGUGACAGGUGUAGGACCAUACCAGAAC
This 334-nucleotide long non-coding RNA is filed under the name Gossypium barbadense (sea-island cotton). RNAcentral's name for it is "long non-coding RNA (GBAR_LNC020663)". Lineage: Eukaryota; Viridiplantae; Streptophyta; Magnoliopsida; Malvales; Malvaceae. The record is from RNAcentral.